CAGCAGCUGAUCAAAGGCUGGAGCCUACAAUCACAAACUGAAGUGGUACAGUCGCCUGAAACAGCUGAGAUGAAAGAUCCGAGCUGCAGGCAGCAGGAAGUCGACAAGAAGCCAGCCAUCAUCAGCAGUUCAACGACAAUAAGGCGCCGUUAAGUACUGUACAUACUGUACACGUGGCGGAGUCGUUUCCACCGCGUGGAGCGCUUUCACGUCGGGCCGUCAGACCCUCGUACCUGUCUGGGAGUCACCACGGGCGCUAAGUGGGGCUGGAAGGUGCUGCGUCGGUCCGUGAUGGCGUCCCCGUGUUUUAUUGGAGGCACCUCCUCGUCUGCAAGACCAAACGCUGCAGGUGAGUGAUGUCUGUUUCGUCCAGUCCGAAUCCACUGCAACAUCAUCUACCGGCCUGAACCGUGGUACCGUGUGAGGGAUCCAUGAGGAGCUGAGCGAGUUCUGCGUCCAGCCCGAGCGUCCUGAAGUCGGGUGCGUCUUCAUCGUGGUCUUCCUCCUCCGUCGUCAUGUUCACCAUCUCUGGCUGAGCCGCUGAAACAGAUCGCGUUGUGUCACAGCCUGAAGGGGCCCAAUUCAGAACAUGGUCCGCUGUGUUCUGCCUUAUACACUAUGAGCCUGUGUGGAUUUAUGGAUGCCUCAGCAAAUAGUAAUAGAAAUGUUACAGAACUUUUAUUUUUAUUGAGAUAAAAUUCAACAACAAGGCUGACUUGUCAGGCAUUUGCCGGCGACCUUUACUCUCUAAUCUAAUCCCCCGCAGUUCUUCUUGAGAGUGUUGAUAAAGUGCUCGCAAUUUUUUUGCACCGUGACGAGCCAAGGUCUAUCUUCACUUGCACAACAGAGGCUUUCACCUGUUAAACAGAUCAUCGUCCGAUCAAUCAAGCACAACAAAAGGGACUUUGGUACCGGAACACAUUUCAGUCCUCAACUUUUUCAAAUGUGUUACAGGAGUCAAUUUUAAUUGUGGAGUACUUUUAUUGAUGGACAGACUAGAGACAACGCUGCUACUUUGCCAUUUUGCUGUCAAGCUGAACUGCGUUUGGUCCUCCAGACUAUUUAUAGGGCGUUAGAGGAGACCAGCUUUUACAAUAAAUUAAGAGAGAGGCAGCAGAAGUUGGCUAAAUCCUUGUUUUGUGUGACUUUCUUCCACUUCCCCAGUUGAUUCCCUUUACGCUGGAUAUUUAUACACUUAUCUGAGUUUUCUUCUGUUAUUACCUUUCGCUCAAAGAAGUGAGAUUAAGGACCUGCAGUGAAGGCUUUGCCCACCCAGCUGACAUAAAAGCCUCCCUAUCUCGCCGGUAAAGGUUGCUGUGCGCCGCCUGACAGGAAUACCUACACACCGGAGGACGCGGGAAUAAGGAAACAUUCUUUUAGACGUGUCAGGCGGUAAAACAUACUUUGAAUAAAAGAGAAAAAGAGUAAAUUAAAUGAAAUUAGGGAUUAAUGCAUUGAGAGAACCAGCUAUAUUGUGCUUUAUAAAAAAAUGCUUUGCUCAUUUUUAUGCUUUAAUGUUCUUCAUACUAAGUAGGUUUUCACUUUACAGGAACAGGAACUAAAGUUAAACUGACACAGAACUGUUGGCUGUGUAUGUAUAUUCACACACUAGGUGCUAACGUCCAUUAAAAGAACGCAGCCUUAUUCAUGCAGACUUCAUCAUUCUCCCCAUUAUUUCUCUAUGCUUUUCAUGUCCCUGCGUCCGUGUUUACUCCCUUUUCAUUUCCUUUUGUGUGGAUUACAGUAUGCAUCUUCAGCCUUAUCAUUUCUCCCCCUCUCCACCGCGUCUCGGCCAUUUGAAUGGGAAUAUGCUGUCGAUCCCGCUCCUGUGAGCUAAAGUGCUGUGACCAGUUAUACUUAUUACCACAUGAAUUGGAGAGACAGGAUGAUUUAUGCCAAACCACAAUGGGCAAAGACAGCUAAUAUUUCUCGAGCCUGUUCCUUCUGCCUGAGCGGUAGAUACUGCUGGUAGAUAGGCUGAGACCAACUGGACACCCCCCCCCAACCGACCCCCUUUCCCCCGAUUCAUGCUGACACUUCUGAAACUCUGGCAUGACAACUUUGUUUGGAGGAAAUUUGUUGACGAGCAGUUCGAUUUAUCGG
Molecule: long non-coding RNA, 2103 nt
Organism: Betta splendens (Siamese fighting fish)
Lineage: Eukaryota; Metazoa; Chordata; Actinopteri; Anabantiformes; Osphronemidae
Exons: 3
Source: RefSeq, a predicted model, not a curated record